This 468-nucleotide ribosomal RNA is filed under the name uncultured bacterium. Its description in RNAcentral is "partial 16S ribosomal RNA". It matches the Rfam family "Bacterial small subunit ribosomal RNA", at positions 28 to 507 of the family's 1533-position model. The record is from RNAcentral.
GACGAACGCUGGCGGCGUGCUUAACACAUGCAAGUCGAACGGAAAGGCGCUGCUUUUGUGGGGUGCUCGAUUGGCGAACAGGUGAGUAACACGUGAGUAACCUGCCCUUGACUUUGGGAUAACUUCAGGGAACUCGGGCUAAUACCGCAUAGGAGCUCCUGCUGCGUGGGGUGGAUUGGAAAGUGUCGGCGGUUGGGGAUGGAUUGGCGGGUUAUCAGCUUGUUGGUGGAGUAGUGGCUUACGAAGGCUAUGACGGAUAGCCGGCAUGGGAGGGUUGACAGCCACAUGGCGACUGAGAGACGGACCAGAAUGGAACGGGCGGCAACAGGGGGGAAUAUUGCAGAGUGGGGGGACGCGUGAGGUGAAAGCGCCGCGUGCGGGAUGACGGGUUACGGGUUGUGAACCGAUUUCGCCUGAGACGAGGAGUGCGUGACGGUAAUGGGUAAGGAAGCAACGGCUAACUACGUG